UGUUCUAAUACGUGUCUUUGGUCCAGAGGGUCCUGAUGGCAAAGAACCGAGCAAAUUAGUGGUGCGAGGAUACAAGUGAGUUGGCUUCCAUUCGGACGUCUACGAUGAGACGAUGGACAGGGUGAAAGGCCUCGGCGUUGAUACCGAGUGCACUGGUGGUGGCAUAAUACAGCACGACCCCAGUGCCAAGGUCAUCAAAGUGUACAGCUACUCACAGGGGUUUGGGAAGGCAGACCACAGCAAGACUGUAGAAAUUCUGAAGACUGCAUAUCCUGUUU
Schistocerca piceifrons (Central American locust) is the source of this 278-nucleotide long non-coding RNA. RefSeq lists it as uncharacterized. Lineage: Eukaryota; Metazoa; Arthropoda; Insecta; Orthoptera; Acrididae. The record is from RefSeq and is a predicted model, not a curated record. The transcript has 3 exons.